AACGCGAAGAACCUUACCUGGGCUCGAAAUGUAGUGGAAUCGGGUGGAAACAUCCGCGUCUCGCAAGAGACUGCUAUAUAGGUGCUGCAUGGCUGUCGUCAGCUCGUGUCGUGAGAUGUUGGGUUAAGUCCCGCAACGAGCGCAACCCUUAUCCCUAGUUGCCAUCGGGUCAAGCCGGGCACUCUAGUGAAACCGCUCAGGAUAACUGGGAGGAAGGUGGGGAUGACGUCAAGUCCUCAUGGCCUUUAUGUCCAGGGCUACACACGUGCUACAAUGGUCGGUACAAACCGUCGCAAACCCGUGAGGGGGAGCUAAUCGGAAAAAGCCGGCCUCAGUUCGGAUUGGAGUCUGCAACCCGACUCCAUGAAGCUGGAAUCGCUAGUAAUCGCGGAUCAGAACGCCGCGGUGAAUACGUUCCCGGGCCUUGUA
Molecule: ribosomal RNA, 429 nt
Filed under: uncultured Acidobacterium sp.
Lineage: Bacteria; Pseudomonadati; Acidobacteriota; Terriglobia; Terriglobales; Acidobacteriaceae
Description: bacterial SSU rRNA
Rfam family: Bacterial small subunit ribosomal RNA
Source: RNAcentral